Microtus oregoni (creeping vole) is the source of this 1217-nucleotide long non-coding RNA. RefSeq lists it as uncharacterized. Lineage: Eukaryota; Metazoa; Chordata; Mammalia; Rodentia; Cricetidae. The record is from RefSeq and is a predicted model, not a curated record. The transcript has 5 exons.
GUCAACAGUUCUGGAGAGGGAGGUCAAUAGAUUAUCUUUAAGAAUCCCAUCCCAAGUUCGUACUCCGGCUCUUAAACAUCCAUGUGUAUGUUCUGGCUCCAUCUCUGAGGUUGUGGUUUGAGUGAGAAAUGUCCCCCAUGGCUCAUGUAUUUGAACACUUGGUCCCCAGCGGGUGGUGCUGUUUGGGAAGGUUUAGGAGGUAUGGCUUUGCAGGAGGAAGUAUGUCAUUGAGGGCUGGCUUUGAGAGUUCACAACCUGGCCCUCCUGCCAGUCUGUUUCCUUAUGUGAUUCCCCGCCGCCAUGCCUGAUGCUUGCUGUCAUGCCCUCCUCAGUGUGACAAUCACUUCUCCCUCUGCACCCGUGAGCCAGGACAAACCCUUCCUUCUGAAUCACCCAUGAACUUGUACUGGGCGUGGAAGGGGAAGGGAAGGAGAACUGGAGACCCCCACAAGGACCCUUGACAGUUGGGGGGCACACAAACACCGCAGGAUGGAUGUGGAAGACAGAGGAAAACAUUCGGAAGCUGCUCCCAACUUUUACCAGACUGUCCAACACGCAGAGAGAAAAGAGUUACCUCCUUGAUCCUGAAGUAUGCCUGGCCCUUGAGUUCUGCAGCAACGGUAAGAAUUUCAUUAUCGAAAACAAAGUGGACGAAAGCUUUUAAGUUAGGCCAGAACGUCAGCUGGGUGUUGCUCAGGGAAGAUAUCGUUUUCCAGGCCAGGUCAAAAGAUUCUAUGCAGAGCGACUCGUCGGAAGUCAGGAGCUGGCAGAAGGGGUGAAAAUACUCAGUGGUGAAAAAACCCCAGAAGGGCUGCUGUUUCUCCAUCACCCAGCCCUCCUUCCCCUCCGUCUCACCUUGGGAACCAGCAUCUCCAUGCAGUGGAACACAGGCUCCAACACUGUCAGAGCAACCGGAAACAGACCGCGGCAAAGGAUAUGUGCAGCACAUGUGUCCAACAGCCUGCCCACUAGACACUGGAGCCACCGCACAGACUUGACUUGAGAGACUGGCUGAAAACUAAGUCAGCAGGUGUCUGACACGGGAGAUGAAGAACCUAACGGUACACUCUUGACCAAAAUGGAGCCUCAUCUCCCCAACUCCCUCCCCAACUCCGCUACACCGUGAACACCACACCACCGGGGAUCCCUAAUGACCACGACUGCACAAAAACCAGAUUGCUACACCUUAACAAAAAUGUUCCUCAUUCACCUGCCGU